Molecule: ribosomal RNA, 274 nt
Filed under: uncultured bacterium
Lineage: Bacteria
Description: partial 16S ribosomal RNA
Rfam family: Bacterial small subunit ribosomal RNA
Source: RNAcentral
AGACGGAGGGAGCUAGCGUUGUUCGGAAUUACUGGGCGUAAAGGGCGCGUAGGCGGCCUUUCAAGUUAGGCGUGAAAGCCCUGGGCUUAACCUAGGAAUUGCGCUUAAUACUGGAAGGCUCGAGAUCGGUAGAGGGAAGUGGAAUUCCUAGUGUAGAGGUGAAAUUCGUAGAUAUUAGGAAGAACACCAGAGGCGAAGGCGGCUUCCUGGGCCGAUACUGACGCUGAGGCGCGAAAGCGUGGGGAGCAAACGGGAUUAGAUACCCCGGUAGUCC